This 468-nucleotide ribosomal RNA is filed under the name uncultured bacterium. RNAcentral describes it as "partial 16S ribosomal RNA". It matches the Rfam family "Bacterial small subunit ribosomal RNA", at positions 28 to 507 of the family's 1533-position model. The record is from RNAcentral.
GACGAACGCUGGCGGCGUGCUUAACACAUGCAAGUCGAACGGAAAGGCCCUGCUUUUGUGGGGUGCUCGAGUGGCGAACGGGUGAGUAACACGUGAGUAACCUGCCCUUGACUUUGGGAUAACUUCAGGAAACUGGGGCUAAUACCGGAUAGGAGCUCCUGCUGCAUGGUGGGGGUUGGAAAGUUUCGGCGGUUGGGGAUGGACUCGCGGCUUAUCAGCUUGUUGGUGGGGUAGUGGCUUACCAAGGCUUUGACGGGUAGCCGGCCUGAGAGGGUGACCGGCCACCUUGGGACUGAGGUACGGCCCAGACUCCUACGGGAGGCAGCAGUGGGGAAUAUUGCACAAUGGGCGCACGCCUGAUGCAGCAACGCCGCGUGCGGGAUGACGGCCUUCGGGUUGUAAACCGCUUUCGCCUGUGACGAAGCGUGAGUGACGGUAAUGGGUAAAGAAGCACCGGCUAACUACGUG